GAAUUCGCCCUUAGAGUUUGAUCCUGGCUCAGGACGAACGCUGGCGGCGUGCCUAACACAUGCAAGUCGAACGGAGAUGUUUAUUUCGGUAGACAUCUUAGUGGCGCACGGGUGAGUAACGCGUGAAUAACCUGACCCGAAGAGGGGGAUAACACCUGGAAACAAGUGCUAAUACCGCAUAAGACCACGGACCGGCAUCGGUCAGAGGUCAAAGGAGGAAUCCGCUUUGGGAGGGGUUCGCGUCCCAUUAGGUAGUUGGUGAGGUAACGGCCCACCAAGCCGACGAUGGGUAGCCGAGCUGAGAGGCUGAUCGGCCACACUGGAACUGAGACACGGUCCAGACUCCUACGGGAGGCAGCAGUGGGGAAUAUUGGGCAAUGGGCGCAAGCCUGACCCAGCAACGCCGCGUGAGGGAAGAAGGUUUUCGGAUUGUAAACCUCUGUCGCAGGGGACGAAGGAAGUGACGGUACCCUGUAAGAAAGCCCCGGCUAACUACGUGCCAGCAGCCGCGGUAAUACGUAGGGGGCGAGCGUUGUCCGGAAUUACUGGGCGUAAAGGGAGCGUAGGCGGUCGAUUAAGUUAGAUGUGAAACCCCCGGGCUUAACUUGGGGACUGCAUCUAAUACUGGUUGACUUAGAGUACAGGAGAGGGAAGCGGAAUUCCUAGUGUAGCGGUGAAAUGCGUAGAUAUUAGGAGGAACACCAGUGGCGAAGGCGGCUUUUCUGGACUGACACUGACGCUGAGGCUCGAAAGCGUGGGGAGCAAACAGGAUUAGAUACGAUGGUGGUUCCCGCUGGAAACGAUGAGUAUUAGGAGUGGGGGGUAUCGACUCCCUCUGUGCGGCAGCAGAGGCAAUAAGUAUUUGGUCGUCGGGGGGGGGGAGCAUGGGGGAAAAUCCCAGGAAUGGGCGGGGGCCCGCGCUAGCAGCGGAGCAUGUGCUUUAAUUUGACGCGAUGUGACGAGCGUUAUCACGGCUUGACGUGGAUUCAGAGUCAUGGACACAUGAGGUAUCUUAGGAGGAUGUAAGCCAGGUGGUGCAUGGGUGUAGUCAGUUAGUGUGGGGGGAUGUGGGGGUGAGUCCCGCAAGCAGCGCGCCUCUCGUUGCCAGUUGCCAGCUUGUAAAGGGGGGGAGUCUGGUCAGGUUUCCGGGGACGAAUGGGGGGAAGGAGGGGAAGGCGUCUAAUCAUCAUGCGCUCUAUCAUUUGGCCCCCCCGCGUGUUCCAAUGACGGGUACGGAUUGAAGGGAACCCGGGAGGGGGAGCCGACCACAAAAAAGCUCUGUCAGCUGGGAUGGUCGUGUGCAACUCGAGUACAUGAAGCGGGAAUCGAUAGUAAUCGAGGAUCGGAACGCCGCGG
RNAcentral lists this ribosomal RNA (1356 nucleotides) under uncultured bacterium. RNAcentral's name for it is "partial 16S ribosomal RNA". It matches the Rfam family "Bacterial small subunit ribosomal RNA", at positions 1 to 1362 of the family's 1533-position model. The record is from RNAcentral.